Diceros bicornis minor is the source of this 105-nucleotide small nuclear RNA. Lineage: Eukaryota; Metazoa; Chordata; Mammalia; Perissodactyla; Rhinocerotidae. The record is from RefSeq and is a predicted model, not a curated record.
AUGCUUCCUUUGGCAGCACAUUUACUAAAAUUGAAAUGAUGCAGAGCAGAAUACCAUGGUCCCUGUGUAAGGAUGACAUGCAAAUUUAUAGUCUUCCAUAUUUUU